Molecule: microRNA, 20 nt
Filed under: Gallus gallus (chicken)
Lineage: Eukaryota; Metazoa; Chordata; Aves; Galliformes; Phasianidae
Description: gga-miR-1645
Source: miRBase by way of RNAcentral
UCUGCUGAAGUACUGUCAGA